Non-coding RNA from Xylaria intraflava, 72 nucleotides. Lineage: Eukaryota; Fungi; Ascomycota; Sordariomycetes; Xylariales; Xylariaceae. The record is from the annotation of a GenBank genome assembly.
GGAAUGAUAGCUCAGCGGUAGAGCAAUUGAUUGCAGUUCAAUAGGCCAUGGGUUCGAUUCCCAUUCGUUCCU